Molecule: ribosomal RNA, 434 nt
Filed under: uncultured bacterium
Lineage: Bacteria
Description: bacterial SSU rRNA
Rfam family: Bacterial small subunit ribosomal RNA
Source: RNAcentral
AACGCGAAGAACCUUACCUACUCUUGACAUCCAUGGAACCUAGCAGAGAUGCUGGGGUGCCUUCGGGAACCAUGAGACAGGUGCUGCAUGGCUGUCGUCAGCUCGUGUCGUGAGAUGUUGGGUUAAGUCCCGUAACGAGCGCAACCCUUAUCCUUAGUUGCUAACGAGUAAAGUCGAGAACUCUAAGGAGACUGCCGGUGACAAGCCGGAGGAAGGCGGGGACGACGUCAAGUCAUCAUGGCCCUUACGAGUAGGGCUACACACGUGCUACAAUGGGCAGUACAGAGGGAAGCGAAGCCGUGAGGUGAAGCGAAUCUCAGAAAGCUGCUCGUAGUCCGGAUUGGAGUCUGCAACUCGACUCCAUGAAGUUGGAAUCGCUAGUAAUCGCGGAUCAGAACGCCGCGGUGAAUACGUUCCCGGGCCUUGUACACACC